AACGUUGAAACUCCAGUUCCUGUACGAUCACCAAAGUUAAGCAACGUCGGGCCUGCUCAUUGCCAAGGUGGGUGACUGCUUGGGAACACCAGACACUGUAA
Acanthosepion pharaonis is the source of this 101-nucleotide non-coding RNA. Lineage: Eukaryota; Metazoa; Mollusca; Cephalopoda; Sepiida; Sepiidae. The record is from the annotation of a GenBank genome assembly.